GGAUCUGACAUAAGAACGUUCAAGUCUGACUUCCAGCAUAACAAGUCAUUGAACCAGGAAGAGGAUCAACCAAUUGUAUUUAACAAAACAAUAAUUAUGAGUAAAAAUUAUAUGUGGCGUGCAUUUUUUCAGGGUCCAAACCACACAAGAAUUACGGAGAGUAAAAACCAAGAGGGAGGGACACAAUGAAUGAUUAGUGAAC
RNAcentral lists this long non-coding RNA (202 nucleotides) under Elaeis guineensis (African oil palm). Its description in RNAcentral is "long non-coding RNA (EGUI_LNC010360)". The record is from RNAcentral. Lineage: Eukaryota; Viridiplantae; Streptophyta; Magnoliopsida; Arecales; Arecaceae.